Molecule: ribosomal RNA, 800 nt
Filed under: uncultured Glomus
Lineage: Eukaryota; Fungi; Glomeromycota; Glomeromycetes; Glomerales; Glomeraceae
Description: SSU rRNA
Rfam family: Eukaryotic small subunit ribosomal RNA
Source: RNAcentral
AUCAACUUUCGAUUGGUAGGAUAGAGGCCUACCAUGGUGGUAACGGGGUAACGGGGUGUUAGGGCACGACACCGGAGAGGGAGCCUGAGAAACGGCUACCACAUCCAAGGAUGGCAGCAGGCGCGCAAAUUACCCAAUCCCGACACGGGGAGGUAGUGACAAUAAAUAACAAUACGGGGUUCUUUCGGAUUUCGUAAUUGGAAUGAGUACAAUUUAAAUCUCUUAACGAGGAACAAUUGGAGGGCAAGUCUGGUGCCAGCAGCCGCGGUAAUUCCAGCUCCAAUAGCGUAUAUUAAAGUUGCUGCAGUUAAAAAGCUCGUAGUUGAAUUUCGGGACCAAUAUGUCGGUCGUGCCUCGGUACGUACUGGCAUCGUUGGUUUCUCCCUUCUGAAGAACCAUGAUGUCAUUUAUUUGGUGUCGUGGGGAAUCAGGACUGUUACUUUGAAAAAAUUAGAGUGUUUAAAGCAGGCUCACGCUUGAAUACAUUAGCAUGGAAUAAUGAAAUAGGACGUUUGAUUCUAUUUUGUUGGUUUCUAGGAUCGACGUAAUGAUUAAUAGGGAUAGUUGGGGGCAUUAGUAUUCAAUUGUCAGAGGUGAAAUUCUUGGAUUUAUUGAAGACUAACUACUGCGAAAGCAUUUGCCAAGGAUGUUUUCAUUAAUCAAGAACGAAAGUUAGGGGAUCGAAGACGAUCAGAUACCGUCGUAGUCUUAACCAUAAACUAUGCCGACUAGGGAUCGGAUGAUGUUAAUUUUUUAAUGACUCAUUCGGCGCCUUACGGGAAACCAAAGUGUUUGGGUUC